This 253-nucleotide ribosomal RNA is filed under the name uncultured bacterium. Its description in RNAcentral is "partial 16S ribosomal RNA". It matches the Rfam family "Bacterial small subunit ribosomal RNA", at positions 524 to 776 of the family's 1533-position model. The record is from RNAcentral.
UACGUAGGUGACAAGCGUUGUCCGGAUUUACUGGGCGUAAAGAGCGCGCAGGCGGUCGAUCAAGUCGAGUGUGAAAGCCCCCGGCUCAACUGGGGAGGGUCAUUCGAUACUGAUCGACUCGAAGGCAGGAGAGGGUAGUGGAAUUCCCGGUGUAGUGGUGAAAUGCGCAGAUAUCGGGAAGAACACCCGUGGCGAAGGCGGCUCUCUGGAACGCAACUGACGCUGAGACGCGAAAGCGUGGGGAGCAAACAGG